AUGACUUCUCUAAGGUGAGUGACCGUACGGUGUGCGUGGACACCUGAGAGAACCAUAGGCCAGACUGAGCAUCUACCAUCCCACUAUCAGAUUAGGGAUGGUGGCAAUUUAUGCUUUUUGGCCCAAACUUUUUAUCUGACAUCACCCACUGAUUAACAUUGGGGUGGCAGGUAGCCUAGUGGUUAGAGUGUAGGGGCGGCAGGUAGCCUAGUGGUUAGAGUGUAGGGGCGGCAGGUAGCCUAGUGGUUAGAGUGUAGGGGCGGCAGGUAGCCUAGUGGGUAGAGUGUAGGGGUGGCAGGUAGCCUGGUGGUUAGAGUGUAGGGGUGGCAGGUAGCCUAGUGGUUAGAGUGUAGGGGUGGCAGGUAGCCUAGUGGUUAGAGUGUAGGGGUGGCAGGUAGCCUAGUGGUUAGAGUGUAGGGGUGGCAGGUAGCCUAGUGGUUAGAGUGUAGGGGAGGCAGGUAGCCUAGUGGUUAGAGUGUAGGGGAGGCAGGUAGCCUAGUGGUUAGAGUGUAGGGGCGGCAGGUAGCCUAGUGGGUAGAGCGUUUGGCCAAGUAACCGAAAGGUUGCUGAAUCAAAUCCCCGAGCUGACAAGGUAAAAAUCUGUCGUUCUGCCCCUGAACAAGACUUGUAACCCAUUGUUCCC
Long non-coding RNA from Oncorhynchus tshawytscha (Chinook salmon), 643 nucleotides. The record is from Ensembl. NCBI's taxonomy places the organism in Eukaryota, Metazoa, Chordata, Actinopteri, Salmoniformes, Salmonidae.